Molecule: transfer RNA, 112 nt
Filed under: Candidatus Dormiibacterota bacterium
Lineage: Bacteria; Bacillati; Candidatus Dormiibacterota
Description: tRNA-OTHER
Source: RNAcentral
GCCGAGGGCGGACGGUUGUGAGUUCCAGGCGGUCGCUGACGGACGUCGGCGGUACCCCUGGCUGCAUCUGAAAAACCCGGUGUCGGCGGUUCGAUCCCGCCCCUCGGCACCA